This 331-nucleotide ribosomal RNA is filed under the name uncultured Streptococcus sp. Its description in RNAcentral is "bacterial SSU rRNA". It matches the Rfam family "Bacterial small subunit ribosomal RNA", at positions 1051 to 1382 of the family's 1533-position model. Lineage: Bacteria; Bacillati; Bacillota; Bacilli; Lactobacillales; Streptococcaceae. The record is from RNAcentral.
GUCGUCAGCUCGUGUCGUGAGAUGUUGGGUUAAGUCCCGCAACGAGCGCAACCCUCGACCUUAGUUGCCAGCAUUCAGUUGGGCACUCUAAGGUGACUGCCGGCUAAAAAGUCGGAGGAAGGUGGGGAUGACGUCAAAUCAUCAUGCCCCUUAUGACCUGGGCUACACACGUGCUACAAUGGUUGGUACAACGAGUUGCGAGUCGGUGACGGCGAGCUAAUCUUUUAAAGCCAAUCUCAGUUCGGAUUGUAGGCUGCAACUCGCCUACAUGAAGUCGGAAUCGCUAGUAAUCGCGGAUCAGCACGCCGCGGUGAAUACGUUCCCGGGCCUU